GGGUGUGACUGCGUACCUUUUGUAUAAUGGGUCAGCGACUUAUAUUCUGUAGCAAGGUUAACCGAAUAGGGGAGCCGGAGGGAAACCGAGUCUUAAUUGGGCGUUAAGUUGCAGGGUAUAGACCCGAAACCCGGUGAUCUAGCCAUGGGCAGGUUGAAGGUUGGGUAACACUAACUGGAGGACCGAACCGACUAAUGUUGAAAAAUUAGCGGAUGACCUGUGGCUGGGGGUGAAAGGCCAAUCAAACCGGGAGAUAGCUGGUUCUCCCCGAAAGCUAUUUAGGUAGCGCCUCGUGAAUUCAUCUCCGGGGGUAGAGCACUGUUUCGGCUAGGGGGCCAUCCCGGCUUACCAACCCGAUGCAAACUGCGAAUACCGGAGAAUGUUAUCACGGGAGACACACGGCGGGUGCUAACGUCCGUCGUGAAGAGGGAAACAACCCAGACCGCCAGCUAAGGUCCCAAAGUCAUGGUUAAGUGGGAAACGAUGUGGGAAGGCCCAGACAGCCAGGAUGUUGGCUUAGAAGCAGCCAUCAUUUAAAGAAAGCGUAAUAGCUCACUGGUCGAGUCGGCCUGCGCGGAAGAUGUAACGGGGCUAAACCAUGCACCGAAGCUGCGGCAGCGAACGUAUCACCCAAGACAACUUUGCACAGUUGACGAUUGGCGGAGCGAAGCGACGUCAAAGCGUUUUACAACGUCGAGUUGGCUUAGGGAUACGUUCGUUGGGUAGGGGAGCGUUCUGUAAGCCUGUGAAGGUGGCCUGUGAGGGUUGCUGGAGGUAUCAGAAGUGCGAAUGCU
This 794-nucleotide ribosomal RNA is filed under the name Salmonella enterica. RNAcentral's name for it is "partial 23S ribosomal RNA". It matches the Rfam family "Bacterial large subunit ribosomal RNA", at positions 589 to 1298 of the family's 2925-position model. Lineage: Bacteria; Pseudomonadati; Pseudomonadota; Gammaproteobacteria; Enterobacterales; Enterobacteriaceae. The record is from RNAcentral.